RNAcentral lists this unclassified non-coding RNA (380 nucleotides) under uncultured Gammaproteobacteria bacterium. RNAcentral describes it as "contains 16S-23S intergenic spacer region". Lineage: Bacteria; Pseudomonadati; Pseudomonadota; Gammaproteobacteria. The record is from RNAcentral.
UCCCCGUUAUCCGAGGCAGUUUCCUAAGAGUUCCGUCCAUUAUAGACAUGGCAACAUAGGAUAAGGGUUGCGCUCGUUGCGGGACUUAACCCAACAUCUCACGACACGAGCUGACGACGGCCAUGCAGCACCUGUGUUCUGGCUCUCUUUCGAGCACUCCCCAAUCUCUCGGGGAUUCCUUCCAUGUCAAGGGUAGGUAAGGUUUUUCGCGUUGCAUCGAAUUAAUCCACAUCAUCCACCGCUUGUGCGGGUCCCCGUCAAUUCCUUUGAGUUUUAAUCUUGCGACCGUACUCCCCAGGCGGUCUACUUCACGCGUUAGCUGCGUUACCAAGUCAAUUAAGACCCGACAACUAGUAGACAUCGUUUAGGGCGUAGACUAC